GCCCUCCCAUUUCCGGAAGCCUGGCGCAAGGUUGGUCUGCAGGUGGCCUCCAGGUGCAAAGUGGGAAGUGUGAGUCCUCAGUCUUGGGCUAUUCGGCCACGUGCCUGCCGGACAUGGGACGCUGGAGGGUCAGCAGCGUGGAGUCCUGGCCUUUUGCGUCCACGGGUGGGAAAUUGGCCAUUGCCACGGCGGGAACUGGGACUCAGGCUGCCCCCCGGCCGUUUCUCAUCCGUCCACCGGACUCGUGGGCGCUCGCACUGGCGCUGAUGUAGUUUCCUGACCUCUGACCCGUAUUGUCUCCAGAUUAAAGGUACGACAUUUGGAGGCCCCAGCGAGAAACGUCACCGGGAGAAACGUCACCGGGCGAGAGCCGGGCCCGCUGUGUGCUCCCCCGGAAGGACAGCCAGCUUGUAGGGGGGAGUGCCACCUGAAAAAAAAAUUUCCAGGUCCCCAAAGGGUGACCGUCUUCCGGAGGACAGCGGAUCGACUACCAUGUGGGUGCCCACAAAAAUUCCACCUCUGAGUCCUCAACUGCUGACCCCGGGGUCAGGAACUGUUGGAAACUACUGAAACUGGCCGACCUGAUCUUCAAAAUGUGCCCCUAGGAAAGGUGGAUGCCACCGUGUUCACAGACAGUAGCAGCUUCCUCGAGAAGGGACUACGAAAGGCCGGUGCAGCUGUUACCAUGGAGACAGAUGUGUUGUGGGCUCAGGCUUUACCAGCAAACACCUCAGCACAAAAGGCUGAAUUGAUCGCCCUCACUCAGGCUCUCCGAUGGGGUAAGGAUAUUAACGUUAACACUGACAGCAGGUACGCCUUUGCUACUGUGCAUGUACGUGGAGCCAUCUACCAGGAGCGUGGGCUACUCACCUCAGCAGGUGGCUGUAAUCCACUGUAAAGGACAUCAAAAGGAAAACACGGCUGUUGCCCGUGGUAACCAGAAAGCUGAUUCAGCAGCUCAAGAUGCAGUGUGACUUUCAGUCACGCCUCUAAACUUGCUGCCCACAGUCUCCUUUCCACAGCCAGAUCUGCCUGACAAUCCCGCAUACUCAACAGAAGAAGAAAACUGGCCUCAGAACUCAGAGCCAAUAAAAAUCAGGAAGGUUGGUGGAUUCUUCCUGACUCUAGAAUCUUCAUACCCCGAACUCUUGGGAAAACUUUAAUCAGUCACCUACAGUCUACCACCCAUUUAGGAGGAGCAAAGCUACCUCAGCUCCUCCGGAGCCGUUUUAAGAUCCCCCAUCUUCAAAGCCUAACAGAUCAAGCAGCUCUCCGGUGCACAACCUGCGCCCAGGUAAAUGCCAAAAAAGGUCCUAAACCCAGCCCAGGCCACCGUCUCCAAGAAAACUCACCAGGAGAAAAGUGGGAAAUUGACUUUACAGAAGUAAAACCACACCGGGCUGGGUACAAAUACCUUCUAGUACUGGUAGACACCUUCUCUGGAUGGACUGAAGCAUUUGCUACCAAAAACGAAACUGUCAAUAUGGUAGUUAAGUUUUUACUCAAUGAAAUCAUCCCUCGACAUGGGCUGCCUGUUGCCAUAGGGUCUGAUAAUGGACCGGCCUUCGCCUUGUCUAUAGUUUAGUCAGUCAGUAAGGCGUUAAACAUUCAAUGGAAGCUCCAUUGUGCCUAUCGACCCCAGAGCUCUGGGCAAGUAGAACGCAUGAACUGCACCCUAAAAAACACUCUUACAAAAUUAAUCUUAGAAACCGGUGUAAAUUGUGUAAGUCUCCUUCCUUUAGCCCUACUUAGAGUAAGGUGCACCCCUUACUGGGCUGGGUUCUUACCUUUUGAAAUCAUGUAUGGGAGGGCGCUGCCUAUCUUGCCUAAGCUAAGAGAUGCCCAAUUGGCAAAAAUAUCACAAACUAAUUUAUUACAGUACCUACAGUCUCCCCAACAGGUACAAGAUAUCAUCCUGCCACUUGUUCGAGGAACCCAUCCCAAUCCAAUUCCUGAACAGACAGGGCCCUGCCAUUCAUUCCCGCCAGGUGACCUGUUGUUUGUUAAAAAGUUCCAGAGAGAAGGACUCCCUCCUGCUUGGAAGAGACCUCACACCGUCAUCACGAUGCCAACGGCUCUGAAGGUGGAUGGCAUUCCUGCGUGGAUUCAUCACUCCCGCAUCAAAAAGGCCAACGGAGCCCAACUAGAAACAUGGGUCCCCAGGGCUGGGUCAGGCCCCUUAAAACUGCACCUAAGUUGGGUGAAGCCAUUAGAUUAAUUCUUUUUCUUAAUUUUGUAAAACAAUGCAUAGCUUCUGUCAAACUUAUGUAUCUUAAGACUCAAUAUAACCCCCUUGUUAUAACUGAGGAAUCAAUGAUUUGAUUCCCCAAAAACACAAGUGGGGAAUGUAGUGUCCAACCUGGUUUUUACUAACCCUGUUUUUAGACUCUCCCUUUCCUUUAAUCACUCAGCCUUGUUUCCACCUGAAUUGACUCUCCCUUAGCUAAGAGCGCCAGAUGGACUCCAUCUUGGCUCUUUCACUGGCAGCCGCUUCCUCAAGGACUUAACUUGUGCAAGCUGACUCCCAGCACAUCCAAGAAUGCAAUUAACUGAUAAGAUACUGUGGCAAGCUAUAUCCGCAGUUCCCAGGAAUUCGUCCAAUUGAUUACACCCAAAAGCCCCGCGUCUAUCACCUUGUAAUAAUCUUAAAGCCCCUGCACCUGGAACUAUUAACGUUCCUGUAACCAUUUAUCCUUUUAACUUUUUUGCCUACUUUAUUUCUGUAAAAUUGUUUUAACUAGACCCCCCCUCUCCUUUCUAAACCAAAGUAUAAAAGCAAAUCUAGCCCCUUCUUCAGGCCGAGAGAAUUUCGAGCGUUAGCCGUCUCUUGGCCACCAGCUAAAUAAACGGAUUCUUCAUGUGUCUCAA
Molecule: long non-coding RNA, 2868 nt
Organism: Homo sapiens (human)
Lineage: Eukaryota; Metazoa; Chordata; Mammalia; Primates; Hominidae
Product: long intergenic non-protein coding RNA 665
Source: Ensembl